GGCUGCGUGAACUACUGACGCUGUACGUCCUGUCUGAGAAAGGAGAAAUAACUUGACGUUACGUUACAUUUUUAUAUGAAGGUAAAUUAUAAGUUUAUCAUGGUGAGUGAAGCUUAGACUAAGCAGUAUAACCAGUAACCAGUUUCGAUAAUAAUUGUUUCGAGCGAGAGCUCAUUAGAUCCACGUUGUCACUGUGGGUUCAUUUUUGGAAUCCUGUUUAAGCAUUCCAACUAUUGUUCUUUAUUCUUUUCUUCCUCUUUUUCUAUUUUGCCUCUUCUCCUUCAGAUUUUCACCUAUUAAAACCGUUCAAAUAAUAAAAUAUUCAGCUCCUGCUAUGACUUUUCAGCUUUCUAUUUCUUAUGCUCCGUUCACACCAAAAGCGAAGCGAAUUUUCGCCACGCUUCACUCGCGCGAGUUUACUCGCCCGACUAGUGGUUAUUUCGCUUCAUUCGCUUGUUUCCGUAAAGACAGCAGGCUCUAAGACAGUGAAAUCCACAGCAACCACUACCAGAGGUCGUGUGGCCAAAAAUGACUUCAUAGGAGCAUGUAUCUUAGGUUGUGGUAUUUUGGACUGGUUCUCUCAAACAGUUGGGUAACAGGAGCUGAUGUGACAUUCACCCACAUGGACAUCAUCAAUCACACGGUAGAGUAAACCAUCCAUCUCCUUGAUCCGGUGCCACUGCCUCAAUAAGGACAUGACAGGCUUGGUUAACCUUGUCCUCUCCUUACAGGUGGGUUUCUGCUUCUUUUCCCAGAACUGCCUAAAUGCAC
Molecule: long non-coding RNA, 771 nt
Organism: Gasterosteus aculeatus aculeatus (three-spined stickleback)
Lineage: Eukaryota; Metazoa; Chordata; Actinopteri; Perciformes; Gasterosteidae
Source: Ensembl